This 1069-nucleotide long non-coding RNA is filed under the name Manihot esculenta (cassava). RNAcentral's name for it is "long non-coding RNA (MESC_LNC004428)". The record is from RNAcentral. Lineage: Eukaryota; Viridiplantae; Streptophyta; Magnoliopsida; Malpighiales; Euphorbiaceae.
UCGAAAAUGCAAACAUAAGGGCUAGAAGCACACCUCAUCUGAAAGAGGAGAAGCUAAUCAUGUUACUUCAUGAGUACAUGGAAAAAGUAGGAUGGGCUAUGACAAAAUCAAAAGGAGUGCUACACUUUUUGCUCAAUGCAGUUGGGACUCUCUUCCCUUCUCCAAUUACUUGAGCCUUGAUCAAGUGGAUCGCACCAUGCACACCACACCCAGGGGAGUACUCAGUUUCCUUUGUUCUUUUAUGUUUUUUACACAUUGAGGACAAUGCAUGAUUUAGGUGUGGGGGUGCAUAUUUCUGAAUUUUUAAAUUUUUGCUUUGAUUUUCAGUUUGAAUUUUUAUUUUUCAUUUUUCAGUGUGAUUUUCAAUUUUUCGUUUUGCUUUCAAUAACAUACACAGAUAGCCACAGUUUUUUUUAUUUAUUUAUUUUUGUUUCCGUUUUUGAGAUGCUUUACUCAUCAUAUAGACUAUGUUGGAUGAGCUUUUCUUUCCAUGACCCCAUUGAUGUGAUAACUCUUUAAACCUAUAUUGAAUCAAUUGCAGUGAGUUAUAUUCAUGUUUGAGAAUUGCCUUUUGAAUUGAAUCUUUGAGCUUUACAUGGUGAAAAAUAUAUUGAUGACCCUCAAUUGAUGAGAAUAAAUUAAAAAAUUGUGUGAAUGAACUUAAUGUGACUUGAUUUAGCAAUUGGUGUUGAUUUGCCCAAAUCAUUGAGAGAAAGAAAAUUCAGCAAAGGCAAAGACCUCAAAAGCACAAAUUAAAAAUUGUUCCAAUGGUCAAAAGACUAUGAACAAAGCUAGUAGCCACUUGGAUAGGUGACCAACUGAAAAAUAUAAACCUUCAAUCAAAAAUAGGUUGGUGACCUUUCCAAGAUCUAAAGUGCAAAAGCCUGAAUAAAGUACUUCAAGGUAAGGGCAAGUCACUUUGAAAGCUAGAAAAAGUCUUAACAAAUAAUGUGCAUGUAUGGUCUCUCUUGAGGAAAAUAAAUCCUAGCCAUGGUAAGUAAAGGGAAACAAGGAAAGAAGGUGAAUAAUCUUCAUGCAUAUAUUCUUCACUGCAAUGCUUCAAAAUAGG